UACGAAGGGGGCUAGCGUUGUUCGGAUUUACUGGGCGUAAAGCGCACGUAGGCGGAUUGUUAAGUCAGGGGUGAAAUCCUGGAGCUCAACUCCAGAACUGCCUUUGAUACUGGCAAUCUUGAGUCCGGAAGAGGUGAGUGGAACUCCUAGUGUAGAGGUGGAAUUCGUAGAUAUUCGCAAGAACACCAGUGGCGAAGGCGGCUCACUGGCCCGAUACUGACGCUGAGGCACGAAAGCGUGGGGAGCAACAGGAU
RNAcentral lists this ribosomal RNA (254 nucleotides) under uncultured bacterium. Its description in RNAcentral is "partial 16S ribosomal RNA". It matches the Rfam family "Bacterial small subunit ribosomal RNA", at positions 524 to 778 of the family's 1533-position model. The record is from RNAcentral.